RNAcentral lists this unclassified non-coding RNA (350 nucleotides) under plant metagenome. RNAcentral describes it as "partial contains 5.8S ribosomal RNA, internal transcribed spacer 2, and large subunit ribosomal RNA". The stretch from base 1 to 105 matches the Rfam family "5.8S ribosomal RNA", at positions 50 to 154 of the family's 154-position model. The record is from RNAcentral.
GAAAUGCGAUAAGUAUUGUGAAUUGCAGAAUUCAGUGAAUCAUCGAAUCUUUGAACGCACCUUGCGCUCCUUGGUAUUCCGAGGAGCAUGCCUGUUUGAGUGUCAUGGAAUUCUCAACUCUAUUUGCUUUUGUGAAUAGAGCUUGGAUUUGGAGGUUUAUUGCUGGUACUUGUGAUCGGCUCCUCUUGAAUGCAUUAGCUCGAACCUUUGCGGAUCAGCUAUCGGUGUGAUAAUUGUCUACGCCGUUGCAGUGAAGCAUAUCAAUGGGCUCGGCUUCCAAUCGUCCUUUACUGGACAAUGACUUUGACCUUUGACCUCAAAUCAGGUAGGAUUACCCGCUGAACUUAAGC